This is an unclassified non-coding RNA of Papio anubis (olive baboon), 148 nucleotides long. It matches the Rfam family "Metazoan signal recognition particle RNA". Rfam says of the family: The signal recognition particle (SRP) is a universally conserved ribonucleoprotein. It is involved in the co-translational targeting of proteins to membranes. Lineage: Eukaryota; Metazoa; Chordata; Mammalia; Primates; Cercopithecidae. The record is from Ensembl.
GCUGGGUGUGGUGGCGUGCGCCUGUAGUCCCAGCUACUCAGGAGGCUGAGGCAGGAGAAUCACUUGAACCCAGGAGGUGGAGGUUGCAGUGAGCCAAGAUCGUGCCACUGCACUCCAACCUGGGUUACAGAGCCAGACUCUGUCUCAA